GUGGGAAGGUGUGCGUGGUUGCCAUCUGCGUUAUGUGCUGUUGCCAGGCUGUGUCCUAUAGCUUGGACGGCAGUGCUCACUCCACAUACCUGCGGCCAUAGAGCCACUGGAGAUCAUAGUACUGGCUCUGUGACGUCUCUUGACUCCUUACCACUGGCCAGCCUCCAUACUCUCCUACAAAC
This 182-nucleotide small nucleolar RNA is filed under the name Oncorhynchus mykiss (rainbow trout). RNAcentral describes it as "snoRNA (ENSOMYG00000045270.2)". It matches the Rfam family "Small nucleolar RNA SNORA23". From Rfam's summary of the family: The members of this family belong to the H/ACA class of snoRNAs which are thought to guide the sites of modification of uridines to pseudouridines. Lineage: Eukaryota; Metazoa; Chordata; Actinopteri; Salmoniformes; Salmonidae. The record is from Rfam by way of RNAcentral.